Helianthus annuus (common sunflower) is the source of this 2072-nucleotide long non-coding RNA. RefSeq lists it as uncharacterized. The transcript has 3 exons. Lineage: Eukaryota; Viridiplantae; Streptophyta; Magnoliopsida; Asterales; Asteraceae. The record is from RefSeq and is a predicted model, not a curated record.
AAGUCUCCAACAGUGGUUGGUCCAAAACGGUAGCUCUAAUGAGUCAACCAUAACAUUGACUUGGCUUGUUGAAGACUUCCAACAGAUUGAUUCAUGCAUUCUUCAUAGUAGUGUUCAACUGUUCAUCAAUCAUGUUGAUAAACAAUUCUAGUUCCUUCUUUGCCUUUUUUCUAGUUCUCAUGUUCUCACCACUGCUGAAUCAUACCUCUUACUACUUUGCCAUAUUCAUUCCUCCGACUACUGAAUCUCCAGGGCAAUAUAAAGAUGUUUGGUCAUCCAAGAAAAACUACGGCAACCUCAUCGUCCAGGAAAAUGCAAUAUUCAUUUCUCCGACCACUUAUUUUCACUUACGAAAAUAAAGUUGUUUGGUCAGCCAACAGAGUCCAUUCGGCCGGGAUUGAUGCAAUACUGAAUUUCACUGCAGCAGCUGGAGAAUUGGUCCUUAAGGAUGGAGAUGGAAGCAUAGUUUGGACCACCAACACUGCAGGUCAAGAAGUUUAACUUUGACAAUCUUUGUUGGAUCUAAAGCAACUCAAGCAUCUAGAUCUGAGCUGCAAUGAUUUUGGAGGCAUCAAGUUCCUAAAUUCAUUGGUUCUUUUCAAAACCUAAGGUACCUUAACCUUUCACGUUCCAAUUUUAGCGGAACAAUCCCUCCACAACUAGGGAAUCUCUCAGAAUUACAUGUUCUGUGUCUUGGAAGUUUUAAUGAUCUAUAUUCUGAAAGAACGAGCAUGGCGAAUAUGAAGUGGCUGUCAAGUCUUGGUAUGUUGCAUCACCUCGAUAUGAGUGGCGUGGAUGUAACACCCCAAAAAUAAAAGACACAAUAAAUAAUAAUAAACUUAAUGUGAUUAAGGAAUAUAUAGUAAUAUGGUACCUAAAUGUGGGAUUCUAAAGAAUAUAUAGUAAUAUGGUACCUAAAUGUGGGAUUCUAAAGAAUAUAUAGUAAUAUGGUACCUAAAUGUGGGAUUCUAAAGAAUAUAUAGUAAUAUGGUACCUAAAUGUGGGAUUCUGUAACGCCCCAAAAAUGAAAACUCAAUAAAACAAGUGAGGACAAAUAACUGUAAUGCCCCAAAAUCUAAUAGUUGAUAAAUAAGGCAUUUACUAGAAUUAUGUGUGAAAUAACUUAACUAGGAUUAGUUAACCUAGUUUGUGUUUCUAUGUUAGUUACAAGAAGGAAAUAAAUAAAUUAUCAAAACUACAAGGGUUGAACUUGUACAUUUUAAUUAAAGUUUGGUUAAGUAGUGGAAGAUCACAAACAUCAGACAUAAGUCUGAUGUUGGUGUCGAUGCAAGCCAAGGGCCAAGAAGGGUUUCUCAUGAUGAUGAAAUGUUGAAGAAUUGAAGCAAAAUCCAGCCUUAAUUCUCUUGCAUGUGUAGAGAUUCUACAUCAAAAAACUAUAUGAAACAUGUGUAUAGGGAUCAUGUCGAGAUGGAUGGAAGCAUAAAGGACUAACGGGCCAUGAGGACAUGAGGAAACGAUAGCGAAUAGGGAUGCAUAAGGUUUAUGAAUAUCGGACUUUCGAAGUGUCGAUAUAGUAAUGAAAUGAUUGAGUGUUGGAAGAUAUUCGGGUUGAAGUAACUUAAGUGGUUAGAAUAUACUAUGGACGUUUUAGUUUAUACAAUAUUUUAUGUUUGGUCGUCACCACCUACUAACAGGUUAGUUGUAUGAGAAUAUAUGUGAUACCCAUUUAAUUGGGAAAUCGAAUGCGUAAGAGAAAUGAGAGUAUGUACAUGAAUGGAAUUAAAAUGACGGUUUUAUAAGCAAACAAGUAUAGCGACUAACUUUUUAAAGCUUUGUUGUUGAAUGUAGGUAAACCCUCAAUUCAGGCGACUUGGAGAAUCGGAGCGAGCGCGUGUUCAUGUUAUGUCAUACCAAACGCUUCCGCUAGCUUGUUCAAAUGUUUUUAGUCCAAAAUUUGUUGUAUUGGUUCUUAGUAGUAUUUUGUCGAAUGAAUCGUAGAAUUAUAACUAGUUUGAUUAUGUUUAAAACAGGGGUAUGCUCGUUUUAUGGACGGGUCAUGCCCAAUUUUUGUUAAAUUAUAGUAUGAUAAUAUCACAUUUAGGAAGAUGAAA